Long non-coding RNA from Plutella xylostella (diamondback moth), 1704 nucleotides. RefSeq lists it as uncharacterized. The record is from RefSeq and is a predicted model, not a curated record. Lineage: Eukaryota; Metazoa; Arthropoda; Insecta; Lepidoptera; Plutellidae.
GUCACCUCCACACUCAAGGUGUAUCAAGUAUAUGCAUACUCGCUUGACAAAAUAUUAGGCUGCCAGCUGGCUCGGUCGUGUCAUCGUGUGGUCCUUUCAGUUUGCCGAGUACCUUAGCCAGAGAAACAUGUAUACUAUAUUGAUUCUUCUUACGGUGGUGUUUGUGGCCUCAACUGCAAGCCACGACAGUGCAGUGUUUGCAAGUGAAAGUGAUUUGGAAAACAGUGUGAUUUUGCAUAGAAUCCGUCGAGAAGUUUUUAAAAACAAAGUGUGCCCCUCCGAUAAAGUGCUGGAUAAUAUUACCAAAAAGUGUGUGAAACCUAUCGAUAAUUCCAUCGAUUACAAAGAUUAUCCCGAAAUGGAAUACGACAUGGAUAAUACUUAAGAACCUAUUAACGACGCAAUGUCUACUUUCGAAAGAAAAAGGAAACGAAGAUACCUAGCUAAGAAAAGCGAGGGAAGAUCCAAAACGAUGUAGUAUAAUUAUUCAAAAAUAGUUGUAUGUUUGUUGUACAUACAUUACUUUAUUGUAUAUUACCUCUUAACACCUGCCUAAACAAGUAUUGUAUUCAAUCUUAAAUCGGUAUUCGGUAUCUGAGUAUUAAUGAAAAACUGUAUGUGCGUAUUGUGUUAGUUAUUUAUGUUUUUUUCUUUUUGUUAAGUAUUAUUAAAAGUUAAGAUUUAUAAGUACAGUUAAGUAUGGAGUCCACCAGUGGAUGACUAAGUGCUGCUGCUGAUGAUGAUGAAGGAGGUUGGCUCUGACUGAUCUUCCUGUGUCAAAAAGAACUUAACAAAUAAUUAUGUGAAAGGUUCGUAACUGUGGUCAAAGGAAGAAAAAUCUAGUCAUUUUAUGAAAAGCCUCAGUAAAUGAAUAGCUAACAUUAAUUUAGACUACUUAUUUGAGCUAAAGCUUUUUCGCGAGUAGGUUUCAUGUGCCUGAUGUUUUAUUUUUCGUGGGAAUGUAGAUAGAUAGAUAGAUAGAAUAUUCUUUAUUUGCACACACAUAUGAAAUAAACUUACAUAACUUAAAUGUAGUUGUGUAGUAAUGUUACAACCUGUAAAAAACUGUAUUGAUUUAAAAUGUAAAUAAUUAAUAUUUAAAAUUAUUGAACUAAAGUAAGGACUACCAGUGAAAGUGUACAUAAUUUCCGCUGAUAGCGUUGAAUUAUCCAAAACAAAACAAGUGAUUAUUGUAAAGAAAUACUGAUAAAAUAAUGUUUAUUUAUCGCUCUCUCAAAAUUUGUUUAUGUGUUGUAAUCUAUACGUAUGUGAGGGUGUGCGUGUUGUGUUUGAAUGUAUGUGUCCAUUUAUAUACAACAAGCUGUUCCCGCGAGCUUUGCUUCGCCUUAAAAAGUUUUCCCAAGGGAAUUCCGCGAUAAAAAGUAGCCUCUGUUCUUUCUCAGGGUCUAGACGAUCUGUAUACCAAAUUUCAUUCAAAUCCGUUCAGUAGUUUUUGCGUGAAAGAGUAACAGACAGACAGACACAGUUACUUUCGCAUUUAUAAUAUUAGUUAGGAUUCAGCAUCAAAAUACCUAAGUACUAUGUAUUUACUGUACAAUGUUUACACAUUUUAUAUGUAAUUCUAAUUUUAAACAAAGUAAAUAAUUUUCUUGAGUCGAAUAAAGGCUGUUUACUGAUUGUUUGUAAAUGAUAACUCAUAUUAACUGUAUAGCAACGCAAAUAUUAAAUGUUUACAUUUCAAAU